UACGUAGGGUGCGAGCGUUAAUCGGAAUUACUGGGCGUAAAGCGUGCGCAGGCGGUUCGUUGUGUCGGCGGUGAAAGCCCCGGGCUCAACCUGGGAAUGGCCGUUGAAACUGGCGAACUGGAGUGUGGCAGAGGGGGGUGGAAUUCCGCGUGUAGCAGUGAAAUGCGUAGAGAUGCGGAGGAGCACCGAUGGCGAAGGCAGUCCCCUGGGCUGACACUGACGCUCAGGCACGAAAGCGUGGGGAGCAAACAGG
Molecule: ribosomal RNA, 253 nt
Filed under: uncultured bacterium
Lineage: Bacteria
Description: partial 16S ribosomal RNA
Rfam family: Bacterial small subunit ribosomal RNA
Source: RNAcentral